Molecule: ribosomal RNA, 253 nt
Filed under: uncultured bacterium
Lineage: Bacteria
Description: partial 16S ribosomal RNA
Rfam family: Bacterial small subunit ribosomal RNA
Source: RNAcentral
UACGUAGGGGGCAAGCGUUGUCCGGAAUCAUUGGGCGUAAAGAGCGUGUAGGCGGCCUGAUAAGUCGGCUGUGAAAGUCAAGGGCUCAACCCUUGAAUGCCGGCCGAUACUGUCAGGCUAGAAUCCGGAAGAGGCGAGUGGAAUUCCUGGUGUAGCGGUGAAAUGCGCAGAUAUCAGGAGGAACACCUACGGCGAAGGCAGCUCGCUGGGACGGUAUUGACGCUGAGACGCGAAAGCGUGGGGAGCGAACAGG